CAGCUUGGUCAGGAAUUAUGCAAAUUCUAUUUUUUACAUGUAGUGUGUGUGCAUGUGUGUGUGUGUGAGAGAGAGAGAGAGAUUUGACUAAUUAUGUCAUCUCUUCAUCUUUUCUCUAUAGAAUGGAACAGAACUAUUCUUCAGGGGUCAGCUUAUUUGGGAAACACUUAUGGAUGAGCUCUUGUCAAUUGGAUUGUCUAAUGCUAGACAGCUUGAAGGUUCACCAAUUGUGGUUGCACAGAAUGAGAAGAUUGAUGGAGUGCUUUGACACUGAUUUGGUGUGGGCAUGCAGCUUCUAUGUUGAAUAGAGUAUCAUGUAAUAGGAAACAGAGCGACUCCUCGGUGGAUGAACUCACUUCAGAUACAAC
Camellia sinensis is the source of this 368-nucleotide non-coding RNA. The record is from RefSeq and is a predicted model, not a curated record. NCBI's taxonomy places the organism in Eukaryota, Viridiplantae, Streptophyta, Magnoliopsida, Ericales, Theaceae.